Molecule: ribosomal RNA, 483 nt
Filed under: uncultured bacterium
Lineage: Bacteria
Description: partial 16S ribosomal RNA
Rfam family: Bacterial small subunit ribosomal RNA
Source: RNAcentral
GACGAACGCUGGCGGCGUGCUUAACACAUGCAAGUCGAACGCUGAAGCUCAGCUUUUGUUGGGUGGAUGAGUGGCGAACGGGUGAGUAACACGUGAGUAACCUGCCCCCUUCUUUGGGAUAACGCCCGGAAACGGGUGCUAAUACUGGAUAUUCACUGGUCUUCGCAUGGGGGUUGGUGGAAAGGGUUUUUCUGGUGGGGGAUGGGCUCGCGGCCUAUCAGCUUGUUGGUGGGGUGAUGGCCUACCAAGGCUUUGACGGGUAGCCGGCCUGAGAGGGUGGCCGGUCACAUUGGGACUGGGAUACGGCCCAGACUCCUACGGGAGGCAGCAGUGGGGAAAAUUGCACAAUGGGCGCAAGCCUGAUGCAGCGACGCCGCGUGAGGGAUGGAGGCCUUCGGGUUGUGAACCUCUUUCGCUCAUGGUCAAGCCGCAACAAUGGUUGUGGUGAGGGUAGUGGGUAAAGAAGCGCCGGCUAACUACGUG